AGCAUCCUGGCGUAUUCGCGAGGUAGUGAGUCCUCGAGCCGAUAAUGCAACACCAGGGGACCACCGAGCAUCGUUGUUGUGCAGGUCCGUCUCGAUCGGAAAGCCUGAUACGGUGUGGCGGUCACCCACCUUGAGCCUCAGGGUUCAAGGGCGAAACUACCAGCGGUACGUCGGGUGUUUU
RNAcentral lists this non-coding RNA (181 nucleotides) under Luminiphilus syltensis NOR5-1B. Its description in RNAcentral is "gamma proteobacterium NOR51-B 6S / SsrS RNA". It matches the Rfam family "6S / SsrS RNA". From Rfam's summary of the family: E. coli 6S RNA was the first non coding RNA to be sequenced, but its function was unknown until recently. It consists of 184 nucleotides that fold into an extended hairpin structure with a large single-stranded internal bulge. Lineage: Bacteria; Pseudomonadati; Pseudomonadota; Gammaproteobacteria; Cellvibrionales; Halieaceae. The record is from Rfam by way of RNAcentral.